AAUUACACGAUGACAAAAUUUUUCUGCUAUUGCUGAUAUUCCUUUUUUUCCUUAACCCCAGAAAAUCUAACCCAGCAAAACUUAUUUAUUUAUUUAUUUAUUUAUUUUUGUUGGGAGCAACAUCUUUGCGAGGCACCGCUGUCUGUGUAGCUAUAGCAGCAAUUUAUUCGGUGCGUGACCCAGUGACGACAUGGGGGAAUUUUGCCUGAUGCAAUGGAGAAUGUGAGAUGUUGACAACUUUCCCAACAGCGGCUCAUCAGCGGAGACCUGCAUGGUGCCUGGACAUGGAUAUGAGGAAGCUUUAACAUCGGCAGUAAGAUGAGACACAGUAAAGGGAAUCCUCAACAUGUCUUUCUUUCCCUCUGUCCUUGUUAUCAACCAUAGGAUAAGUGCAAGCACUGAUGUUUGACAGCAGCUGGGAAUAGUUUCUCUCAUACGGACUUUUGCUUGUCUGACAGGAAAUAGGUGAGCACCUGACUUCUAACAGAAAGGAGUUAGUUUACCCAGCAAUUAUGUGUCUCCUAACUACUGCUUGGUAUUUAAAGAGAUGAUUUGGUGUUGAGGAAAACAGAUAUGCUUCAGAUAUGGGGCGGAUGAGGCCUCAGAUGCGUGGGUACAAUGCUGUGGGACCCAAGCCUGCUGCAGAACCUAUAAGAGCUGAAAAAAAAGCCAUACUUAGGACUGGGAGCUCACAAAUAGCCUGUCCAGGUAAGGCCUGCUCUAAACGGUGCUGUUUUUCAAGUAUUUGCAUAUGUCCAGAGUGCAUUUCAAUGAGAAUGAGACCAAAAUUCUGGAGAUGCUUUUGCACCACUAAUCCAGAGGGCAGGGAUUUUGUGUCUGCGCGGGGUGGCAUUUUUUCUUCCAAGCAGUGGGACUUCCUCCUAUUGCUGAUCCAAACAUGCCACCUACUGUUUGUUGGAAGGGAGACAUGGUGUAGCCAGUAAAACUGGUGCAAACGUUAACCAGACUAGAUGCAAUGCACCUGGAAAACACUCUCCAGCAGCCAGCUGGAGAACCUGGCCAUCACAGGUUCACCUGCUCUCCACCAUCACAGAAGAAUCAUCCUGCAACCUGGUGCUUCGGACGUGCACAUGUCAGGAAGCAGCAAUGCCAAAGCCUGGACAGCAGGAGGAAGCAAACAUAGAGUGGGGCAGGAAAAACUGGUGUUAAAAUGAUACUGGCUUUGCAAGGCAACACUCAUCGGCUACUUCAUAGCAAUAACACAGGGGGUCUCUGAGGGGAAGCCGUGUCUCUGUAGGAGGGAAACUUAAGGAAUGAACCACAGAAUAGUUGGGGUUGGCAGGGCCCUGUGGGUCCAUGUGGCACAACCCCUGCUCCAACAGGGACAGCCAGCACAGGGAGCCCAGCAUUUUCCUUGUUGGACUUCAUGCCAUCGCUGUCACCCAGAUCCUCGUGUUUCUAUCUGGACCCCCCCCUAGGCUUCUCCUAGUGUUGUGGAUGCCACUGACAGCACUGCAGCACGGGGAAAGAUCUGCUCCUGCUUCCCUGCUGCCUCUCCUCGCAGGCCUCGGCCCUGGCCUGCUGCUGAGGGAGGGAGGCCAUGUUGGGCCUGCAUGCUGGGGUGCCAGGUGCCUCAGGACCGUCUCGCUUGUAGGGGACCCAGCUGGCUGUGGCGAUGCAACUGCGGUGCCCUUCUGUGGCAAAGAUAGAGAACUGCAGCCCUCUUUCAGGCUCCUUUGUGCAAACCAAGCAGGUUUGCCCUGGGCAGGAGAGCUACAAGCUGAGAUCCUUGUAAGGGCUGAGAGGUGGCAGAUGCCCACAGAGAGGGGAGGAAAGAAGGGGUUAAAGCACAGAGGGAGGGACGAGGCUACAGCUAGCAGAUGUCUGGGGCUGAAAAGUAGGUCACCUAUUUCUGCCGGGGGGGUGGGAUUUGAAAAUCGACAUGGAUGUGCAAACAAAGCCAAGCAGCGCAUCAAGGAGUAGAACUGAAGGCUCGAGCCUGGCAGAGAUCCUCUGAGGACACCAUGCUGCUAUAGCACAUCGGGAACAGCUAUUAAUUAAGAUUAUCUUUUCAAAAAUUACUUUAUCUUCAUGAGCACAUAUAACUCUUGUUGACGUCUUUGCCACGGAGUGCACGGAGGACUGUCACUCCU
Molecule: long non-coding RNA, 2114 nt
Organism: Gallus gallus (chicken)
Lineage: Eukaryota; Metazoa; Chordata; Aves; Galliformes; Phasianidae
Source: Ensembl